This 219-nucleotide unclassified non-coding RNA is filed under the name Hevea brasiliensis (rubber tree). The record is from RNAcentral. Lineage: Eukaryota; Viridiplantae; Streptophyta; Magnoliopsida; Malpighiales; Euphorbiaceae.
GGAUAGAGGUUUAUAAUAUUGUAUAGGAGUUAGUGAUUAAAAUUAUAUUAAAGAAAAAGAAAUGUAGGAUGGUAAAGUGGUUGUUUGAGGAGGUUUUAUAAAUAGUUGAGAAAGAAGAGAAGUGAAGGGUAAAGGAGAAAAGGAAAGAUAUAUUUAAUUGAAUGUAGAGUUUUAGAGAAUAGUAAGGAACGAUAAGAAAUUUUUUAUAAAUGAAUAGUG